RNAcentral lists this ribosomal RNA (180 nucleotides) under uncultured Glomeromycotina. RNAcentral's name for it is "partial small subunit ribosomal RNA". Lineage: Eukaryota; Fungi; Glomeromycota. The record is from RNAcentral.
GGAUUGACACAUCGGUCGUGCCUUAAGGGGUAUGAACUGGUGUAGUCAAUUUCUCACCUUCUGGAGAACCGCGAUGCCCUUAAUUGGGUGUCACGGGGAACCAGGACCUUUACUUUGAAAAAAUUAGAGUGUUUAAAGCAGGCCUACGCUUGAAUACAUUAGCAUGGAAUAAUAGAAUAG